UCUGGCAGUGAUGAUCCACUUGCCCUCACCGAGAACAAGGUUCUGUGAUGAGAAUCUUUGUUACGGACUCUUCUGAGCCAGA
Small nucleolar RNA from Jaculus jaculus (lesser Egyptian jerboa), 82 nucleotides. NCBI's taxonomy places the organism in Eukaryota, Metazoa, Chordata, Mammalia, Rodentia, Dipodidae. The record is from Ensembl.